UUGGAUCAAACUGAGUUAAGUUAGGUCAAUAUUUGGUUAAAAUGAGUCGGGUUGAGGUUAAAUCGGAUAAAAGAAACAGAAUCGACACAAAAUGUCAUUUUAAGGACCCAAUUGACAAAAAACUUAUUUCAAGGACGAAUUUAAAAGUGGGUAAUAACUCGAAGGAAGUAAAGAGUCGUUCAGACUUUAAUAGUUUAAUUUAACAAGUCGUAAUAAGAGCCACGUUGAGGAUUGUUAUUUUGACCGCAAGAACUGAAGUCCUGAUAGGAUCCUUAAAUGUUGGGGAUGAGGAAUAUUAUGCUGAGCACGAGCAUUGAAGUUAGGGUAGUAGUCGUGUUGAGGUCCAUGAGGAUUGUGGUGUUGACCACGAGCACUGAAAUCCUGAUAGGAACCAUGUUGAGGAUUGUUAUAUAAUCAACAGAAACUAUGAAAACGUGGUGAUGCUAUGUUUGGCAACAAAAUUCCAAGCAUUCAAAUCGGAAUUGAAAGCAGUAGCAAUUCCAUAGAAUUGAAAUUUAGUUAAAUUUGGUGCUUAAUUCCAAUUGCAAGGCUUGGAAUCAUGUUGUCAAAUAUAACAUUAAUGUUUCUCUUCAUAAUGAUUUCUAUUUUAACCUACAUCACAACAAAUAUUUUGAAAUACAAUACCUUUUUGUUAUUUAAUUUUGACUCCAAAGUAUGCAGAUGGAACCAGUAACUUUGAGGUUAUUCAUCAUGGCCUCUACCAUUCUCCCAGCCUAUGAGGUCCAAAAAUAUAGUUCUGCAUUAUAUGGAAACAAGUAAUUACUAAACCAAUGAUAUUAAAAGGGUGACCAUCUAGACCCCCAAGACCAACUCGACCAAUCCAAGAACACCUAAGAAAGAACCUAGGUUGCCACUAGAGUCGGAAAUACUUUUGACUAACCCAUCAACCCAUAAUUAAAUGGGUUGAAUUAUCCACUUAUCUUACCAGGUCUUAGUUGGGUUUGGUUAAAUGGAUAACAAAAGUUAUAUAGGUUAGAUGGAAAAAACCAUGGAUAAUAAAUGGGUAAAUCGCCUAUCGAUCCUUUACACGGUAUACACAGAUUUUAUAAGCCACUCUCACGCCAAUCAUUAUCUGGAGUUGAUCCAUCACUUACUUUGAUUGCACUGCGGGUCUCUACAGUGACCUGGGUUGAAGCUUUGAUUCUCUUUAUGUGAAUGUAUACAAGGAUCCACUGAGAUUUUGGCUGUUACAUAUAAUUGAUUUUUUUUUUUAAUUUUGUUCUGUUGAGUAAUUCCAACCCCUCUGUUCUACUGAAAAAUUCCGGGGUAGAUGAUAUUUGAAACUUAAAUUGUAAAUUGUCUUUUUCGCAGUAAGAAAAAAGAUGUACUUUGAGAAAACGAGGAGAGAUUAAAUAGAAGCAGAUUAGUUAGUUUUCCUCUGUCCAGCUAUUUUUAUGUUUUCCCGUAAACAAUGACGCAAGUUACAUGUGUUGAUGGGUUUAACCCUAAUUCAUUUUCAACCAAUUUAUUAGUGACCCAACCCAUUAGUAACCCACAGCUCAUUUAAAUUUAUCCAUUACCUAUUAAAUCAACCCAUUUAUCCCCUUUAAUUGCCACUUAUAGGCACCUGGGCAGUCGCUCGGGUUCUGAGACAUUUUGGAACGUCUCAAAAUUUGGUUAUCGCAUGCGUACCUAGCUGCCAGGACAACCUAACAGGCCAAACACAGCACCAUAAAGGCAGAUAUAACAACUAAGGUUCUAAAAUGUAAACUUAACUGUUUUUCUCGGACAUCUAUGAGGAUCAAGACCCUAGAAAACGUAAGUAUUUGAGGCUACUUAAAUUUCUAUAGACCUAUAAGUGACUCUACAAUAGGACUCAACUAAUACAAUCUGCUCCAAGCCAGAGUCUGGGCAAACUUUGACCAAAACGUAAUAGAUGCUCUACUAAGUACACUUUUGAUCAAAGAAGCUUCUUAGUUUCAGACUCAACAUCUUUGUUUUAGAUCUCAAAAGUUCUUAUACUUUUUCAUCAAUAAGCAUGUAGUCACUAAGUUUAGAGCUUAAACUCUGUGCUGCCCAGAGUAGUAGUCUCCCACUAACAUCUGAACAAUCCCACGUAAUUUGGAUGCAAGAAUGCAGUAAAACUCACAUCGCUUGUGUUGCUCCAUCCCAUGCCCAUAAGAGAACCUAUGGCACUGUUUGGCACCUUCACCUCCAUAAAAUUGUUGACAUUGAGUAUCUGGAACACAAAUAAGAUAUCAAUCACUAGAAUCAAAACUUGAAACCAGAAAGAACGUCAAAAUAACAUAAGAUGCAUCUACAUGCAUAUAUAAGCAAUAAAUACCCAGUAGCAUUUUAAUGAACUGGAUAACAUGGAGGCUUGUACUCACGUCCACAAUCCUUCAGAAUAUAGCAUCAACAAUUAUUCAGUAACAAGAAGUGCCAAGCAAUUGUUAGGAAUCAUCUCAAACACUAGAAAAAAGAGUAAAGCAAUAAAUUCAAUAAAAAUCUUAAAGAUAAAUACUCCCUCCAUCCCCAAGAGGAUGACUAAAUCUACAAAAAAAAAUUGUCCCCGAAAGAAAAAGAUAAAACACAUAAAGUGAAGAGUAAACAUGUCAUUUAGUGGGGUCCAUUAGGAGAAAAAAACUAAAAAUACUCAUCACUUUAUAUAAUCUUGUAGGGCUACUAAGGAUUAAUUUGGAACUUUUUUACUCUCAUUACUCUACUUUUACUUUUCUUAAUAUGUGUGCCAAUUGUACUUUGCUUAUCUUUUGGGAACAGAAGUAGUACAUAAAUAAAUAAAAUAAUCAUGAACUGCAAUCUUCCUCAGUAUUUGGUAUAAAACCCAAACAAGAAGACGCCUCAGUGAAAGACAGCAAUAACACUAAACCAAAAAGACAUGGCCUGUAGAAACAAAGUGGCAGUCACGUGAUAGGGAUCAUGGGUUGUUUUCCAUAUCUUUUGUAUAAUCUAUGUGUACCGGGAUGGAGGGUUUGGCUUUGAUUUGAGCUUGUUUGGUAAUAUCUGAAACAGAGACUGAUUUCAGAACACUACAAACGUAGCACUAAAGAAGGGAAAACACCAAACUCUGUCAGUGAUGGGUUUUAUCAAACACUUAACACAAAGAAUUGAGCUCAAAUAUGUGCUACUUCACCGAAUUUGAGCCUCACUUCGUGGAUUUGUGUUAUCUAAUUUUUUGCCAAUGUAUGGGAAAUUAUUCGCCAAAGAAAUAGGGGUCUUAUAUAGAGCUUAUAAGAGCAUAAGAGGUUUCAGUGAAAGAACCAAUUUAACUUCGUCCACUUUCACCAUCAUAAAUUGGAUUUCAGAUUUAUUGUCCAAGUCAUUAUAUUAUCAAUAGCAAUUUCAUAAAGGUCUAUAUAUGAUCAAUACCUAAUUUGAAUAACAAAAUAGUCGCCGGAAGAAAAUUUCACAAGUUUCUAAACCCAAACAAACUACAGCGAACCAGUUGAAGAAGUAUUAUCUAGAUACAAAAAAUUGAAGUAUUCAGAAAAGAUCUGAAAUAAUGUUGCAAAAAAUAAGAACCAUGUAAUCACCUAGCAUAACUAGUUCAACAUAAACCUAUUAACAAUCUGCAAAAGGUUUCUAGAUAAUGAUUUCAACAUGAAGUACCUUGAAAAGAUCAUAACCAUCAGAGCUACCGACUCCUAUGGCACCAGACGGAGGUGGUCCUCUGAUGACCAAAUCCUGGGUGUGGCCAACUGGAGCAGGUUCACCUAAAGCUUUUGCGUCUUGCAGACAUCUCGCUCUAAGUCUAGACACAAUCUAUCCCAAUGCAUCUUUAGACCUAUAAGACUUGAAGAUACCAGAGCACAAAUUAUUUAAGAGGAAUCAAAACUAGUUUGUAGCAAACUUAGCAGAAAAAAACUGGUUGUAGCAUGAGCUACAGAUAUAGAAAAUUGCAUUGCAAAGGAGACAAAUGUUAGUGCUUAAGCUAAAUUUUAACUUUUCCUGGUAAAAAAAUUGAUCGAUUUCUGAUGACAGAUUGAUCGGGUCAAAAUUUUUCGUCAAUCUAUCGACUCGAGCGUCAAGGAAUAUGAUUUCAAGAUUCUUAGCUCGAGUCAUA
RNAcentral lists this long non-coding RNA (4045 nucleotides) under Panax ginseng (ginseng). RNAcentral describes it as "long non-coding RNA (PGIN_LNC011947)". Lineage: Eukaryota; Viridiplantae; Streptophyta; Magnoliopsida; Apiales; Araliaceae. The record is from RNAcentral.